AACGAAUUUGAUUUUAGGGUAUUGCGGUUGCUAAACAAACUGUAAAAUUGCCGAUGUCGACAUGAAUAAGGCUCAAUCACCUUCUGGGGUGAAAGAGAAUCGGGUUCGAAUCCCGGUGAGCCGUUUUAGAUGCACCUCGAGAUGCGAGUCACGAGGGAAGGGCUGAGAGUCAAACCAAUGACUCUUCGAGGCCGUGUAAAGGUUUGCACAAAGGACGUUAAAUGGGUUUAGCGGAGCAU
Molecule: unclassified non-coding RNA, 239 nt
Filed under: uncultured archaeon
Lineage: Archaea
Description: 16S-23S ribosomal RNA intergenic spacer
Source: RNAcentral